RNAcentral lists this ribosomal RNA (1269 nucleotides) under Listeria monocytogenes. RNAcentral describes it as "partial 23S ribosomal RNA". It matches the Rfam family "Bacterial large subunit ribosomal RNA", at positions 457 to 1725 of the family's 2925-position model. The record is from RNAcentral. Lineage: Bacteria; Bacillati; Bacillota; Bacilli; Caryophanales; Listeriaceae.
CUCCCAAGGCUAAAUACUCCCUAGUGACCGAUAGUGAACCAGUACCGUGAGGGAAAGGUGAAAAGCACCCCGGAAGGGGAGUGAAACAGUUCCUGAAACCGUGUGCCUACAAGUAGUUAGAGCCCGUUAAUGGGUGAUAGCGUGCCUUUUGUAGAAUGAACCGGCGAGUUACGAUUUGUUGCAAGGUUAAGCGGAAAAAGCGGAGCCGUAGCGAAAGCGAGUCUGAAUAGGGCGCAUAAGUAACAGGUCGUAGACCCGAAACCAGGUGAUCUACCCAUGUCCAGGAUGAAGGUAAGGUAAUACUUACUGGAGGUCCGAACCCACGCACGUUGAAAAGUGCGGGGAUGAGGUGUGGGUAGCGGAGAAAUUCCAAUCGAACUUGGAGAUAGCUGGUUCUCUCCGAAAUAGCUUUAGGGCUAGCCUCGAGGUAAAGAGUCAUGGAGGUAGAGCACUGUUUGGACUAGGGGCCCUUCUCGGGUUACCGAAUUCAGAUAAACUCCGAAUGCCAUGUACUUAUACUCGGGAGUCAGACUGCGAGUGAUAAGAUCCGUAGUCGAAAGGGAAACAGCCCAGACCACCAGUUAAGGUCCCCAAAUAUAUGUUAAGUGGAAAAGGAUGUGGGGUUGCUUAGACAACCAGGAUGUUGGCUUAGAAGCAGCCACCAUUGAAAGAGUGCGUAAUAGCUCACUGGUCGAGUGACCCCGCGCCGAAAAUGUACCGGGGCUAAACAUAUUACCGAAACUGUGGAUGAACCUCUUUAGAGGUUCGUGGUAGGAGAGCGUUCUAAGGGCGGUGAAGUCAGACCGGAAGGACUGGUGGAGCGCUUAGAAGUGAGAAUGCCGGUAUGAGUAGCGAAAGAAGGGUGAGAAUCCCUUCCACCGAAUAUCUAAGGUUUCCUGAGGAAGGCUCGUCCGCUCAGGGUUAGUCGGGACCUAAGCCGAGGCCGAUAGGCGUAGGCGAUGGACAACAGGUAGAGAUUCCUGUACCAGUGCUAAUUGUUUAACCGAUGGGGUGACACAGAAGGAUAGGGAAUCGCACGAAUGGAAAUGUGCGUCCAAGCAGUGAGUGUGAGAAGUAGGCAAAUCCGCUUCUCGCGAAGCAUGAGCUGUGAUGGGGAAGGAAAUUAAGUACGGAAGUUCCUGAUUUCACGCUGUCAAGAAAAGCCUCUAGGAAGAGUAGUACUGCCCGUACCGCAAACCGACACAGGUAGAUGAGGAGAGAAUCCUAAGGUGAGCGAGAGAACUCUCGUUAAGGAACUCGGCAAAAUGA